This 510-nucleotide ribosomal RNA is filed under the name uncultured bacterium. RNAcentral describes it as "partial 16S ribosomal RNA". It matches the Rfam family "Bacterial small subunit ribosomal RNA", at positions 28 to 507 of the family's 1533-position model. The record is from RNAcentral.
GACGAACGCUGGCGGCGUGCUUAACACAUGCAAGUCGAACGAAGAGCGAUGGAAGCUUGCUUCUAUCAAUCUUAGUGGCGAACGGGUGAGUAACGCGUAAUCAACCUGCCCUUCAGAGGGGGACAACAGUUGGAAACGACUGCUAAUACCGCAUACGAUCUAAUCUCGGCAUCGAGGAUAGAUGAAAGGUGGCCUCUACAUGUAAGCUAUCACUGAAGGAGGGGAUUGCGUCUGAUUAGCUAGUUGGAGGGGUAACGGCCCACCAAGGCGAUGAUCAGUAGCCGGUCUGAGAGGAUAAACGGCCACAUUGGGACUGAGACAAGGCCCAGACUCCUACGGGAGGCAGCAGUGGGGAAUCUUCCGCAAUGGACGAAAGGCUGACGGAGCAACGCCGCGCGAGUGAUGACGGCCUUCGGGUUGUAAAGCUCUGUUAAUCGGGACGAAAGGCCUUCUUGCGAAUAGUGAGAAGGAUUGACGGUACCGGAAUAGAAAGCCACGGCUAACUACGUG